AGAAUCUCUUGAAACCAGAGUUCUGGAUUUAAACAUGGACGGUCAGACGUGCUUGAACAAGAUUGGAAUGCCAAAAGUGAGGUAGGCAGGUGUCUCAUUUUUGCUGCUUCUGUUAUUUUUGCUGGCAUCACAGUUUAUGUUUCUUUCUUUCUUUGAGGUAGGCAGGUGUCUCAUUUUUGCUACUUCUGCUAUUUUUUCUGACAGCUCAGUUCAGAUGCAUUGGUUUCCUUCCUUCCUUC
This 239-nucleotide long non-coding RNA is filed under the name Homo sapiens (human). RNAcentral describes it as "non-protein coding lnc-DSG1-10:1". The record is from RNAcentral. Lineage: Eukaryota; Metazoa; Chordata; Mammalia; Primates; Hominidae.